Molecule: long non-coding RNA, 2353 nt
Filed under: Triticum aestivum (bread wheat)
Lineage: Eukaryota; Viridiplantae; Streptophyta; Magnoliopsida; Poales; Poaceae
Description: long non-coding RNA (TAES_LNC005873)
Source: RNAcentral
CCAGACCUCAACUGCACUCCACCUGCAGAAGAUGCAGAAGAUGAAAUGGGUGAUGAUGAUGCAGGAGUACAAAUGGAUGAAGAUGUAGGAGUACAAAUGGAUGAAGAUGCGGGAGUACAACAUGCAGGUAUAGCUACAGUGGCAUUUCAGAAAUUUUCAGUUAGUGGUGGAAGAAAAAAAUCAGUUAAAUUACAGAAUACAGUUUGAUGAUAUGAUCAUAUCAUCAUUUGAUCAUUUGAUGAUAUGAUCAUAUCAUCAUUUGAAUGCUUAUGUUCAUUUGACCAUUUUUCCUUUGAUCAUUUGAUCAUUUUUCCUUUGCUGUAUUUCUUCGUGCAGGUGUUGAGCAAUCAGUUAAGAAAAGGGAUAGCCUCGAUGACAAGCAAAAGUAUGCUGCUUAUGUUGCAAUGCACACACUGUGCAUGAGUAGAGGGGGCAAAUUUGAAAGAGAUGACAAGAAAAAGAUUGCCAGUUUCUUUGGAGUGGGUGUAUGGAAUGUACAAAGAGUUUGGAAGAAAGCAAUGAAGCAAAUUGCUCAAGGUCUGGAGGUGGAUGUUUCAAGUCAGAGAAAAAAGAACCGUGGAAGAAAGCCAAAGGACAUUAAUCUAGAUCAAAUACCUACCAUUCCACUUAACAAGCGGUCUACUAUCAGGUCACUUGCUUGGCAACUCGGUUGCAGCCCUACGACACUCCACCGGAAGUUCAUGCUGAAGUUGAUAAAGAGGCAUACAAACUAUUUGAAGCCAGUUUUGAAGGAAAAGAACAAGAAGGAUAGAAUGGAAUUUUGCUUGUCAAUGCUCGAUGAGACAACAACACAAACUGAAAGGCCAAAAUUCAAGACCAUGCACAACAUUAUUCAUAUUGACGAGAAAUGGUUCUAUAUGACCAAGAAAAUCAGGAACUAUUAUCUGCUAUAUGGGGAGGAAGAGCCUACGAGAACUAUACAAAACGGCAGUUGGAAAAGUCGUGUUCUUGGCGGCUAUUGCUAGGCCAAGGUGGGAUAGUGAAGGAAAUGUGACAUUUUCUGGGAAAAUUGGAAUUUGGCCGUUUGUGAAAGAAGUUCCGGCUCAGAGGAGAAGCGACAACAGGCCCAGAGGAACAAUGGAGACGAAGUCCAUAAAAGUCAACAGGCAAGUAAUGAGAGAGUUCAUGAUAGAUAACCUACUACCAGCAAUACAAGCAUCUUGGCCUGAGAAUGAUGCUGGGCAAACCAUCUAUAUACAACAAGACAACGCCAAGCCCCAUAUCUUGCCCAACGACCCAGAAUUUGUAGCAGCCGCGGAAAGAACUGGACUCGACAUCAGACUAAUUCAACAACCUGCCAAUAGCCCUGAUCUGAAUGGCCUUGACCUUGGGUUCUUCAACUCGUUGCAAUCUCUGACAGAUUGUCUAAGCCCUAGAACGCUUCAGGAUCUUAUCAAGGGUGUGCUAGAUGAAUUUGAAAACUAUGAAGUUUACAAGCUGAACAGAGUUUUCCUAUCUCUACAAGCUUGCAUGAUUGAAAUCUUGAACCACGCAGGGGGCAAUGGGUAUAAAAUACCCCAUGCGAACAAGGAAAGGCUAGAGAACCUUGGGAUGCUACCUCCAAGACUUACAUGCCCUGAAGAGGUAUAUGCAAAUGCCAUGCACAAUCUUGGGAUAAUGGAGAGAGUUCAGUGAUGGAAGAAGAGGCUUGACAUACUUGUCGAGAUGCUUGUUGAUAUGCUUGAGGAGUUAGUUGUUGAGAUGCUUGAGGAGUUGCUUGUUGAGAUGCUUGUCGAGAUGCUUGUCGAGAUGCUUGAGGAGUUGCUUGUUGAGAUGCUUGUCGAGAUGCUUAUUCAUAUGCUUGUCGAGAUGCUUAUUCAUAUGCUUGAGGAGUUUCUUGUCGAGAUGCUUGUUCAGAUGCUUGAGGAGUUGCUUGUUGAGAUGCUUGUCGAGAUGCUUGUUGAUAUGCUUGAGGAGUUGCUUGUCGAGAUGCUUGUUCAGAUGCUUGAGGAGUUGCUUGUUGAGAUGCUUGUCGAGAUGCUUGAGGAGUUGCUUGUUGAGAUGCUUGUCGAGAUACUUGAGGAGUUGCUUGUUAAGAUGCUUGUGAUUAUUUGUGUGGAGUAUGUGUAACUCCUUGUUUGUGUGGAGUAUAUGUAAAUCCUAGAGAUGAGGCUUGUGCGGAGUAUAUGUAACUCCUUGAGAAGAGACUUGUGUGGAGUGCAUCAUUUGUAUGAUCAUUUUAAUUAACCAAGAACUACUCCUACAUACUCCAAGAACUACUCCUACUCCUACUCCAAGAACAACUCCUACUCCUAAUUUUAAUUAAAACUAAGCAGCAAGUCCACACGAUUUUAAUUUUAAUUUAAGGAAAAUCCACACGAUUUUACAGAAG